RNAcentral lists this ribosomal RNA (515 nucleotides) under uncultured bacterium. RNAcentral's name for it is "partial 16S ribosomal RNA". It matches the Rfam family "Bacterial small subunit ribosomal RNA", at positions 28 to 523 of the family's 1533-position model. The record is from RNAcentral.
GAUGAACGCUGGCGGCGUGCCUAAUACAUGCAAGUCGAGCGAAUGGAUUAAGAGCUUGCUCUUAUGAAGUUAGCGGCGGACGGGUGAGUAACAUGUGGGUAACCUGCCCAUAAGACUGGGAUAACUCCGGGAAACCGGGGCUAAUACCGGAUAACAUUUUGAACCGCAUGGUUCGACAUUGAAAGGCGGCUUCGGCUGUCACUUAUGGAUGGACCCGCGUCGCAUUAGCUAGUUGGUGAGGGAACGGCUCACCAAGGCAACGAUGCGUAGCCGACCUGAGAGGGUGAUCGGCCACACUGGGACUGAGACACGGCCCAGACUCCUACGGGAGGCAGCAGUAGGGAAUCUUCCGCAAUGGACGAAAGUCUGACGGAGCAACGCCGCGUGAGUGAUGAAGGCUUUCGGGUCGUAAAACUCUGUUGUUAGGGAAGAACAAGUGCUAGUUGAAUAAGCUGGCACCUUGACGGUACCUAACCAGAAAGCCACGGCUAACUACGUGCCAGCAGCCGCGGUAA